RNAcentral lists this ribosomal RNA (253 nucleotides) under uncultured bacterium. Its description in RNAcentral is "partial 16S ribosomal RNA". It matches the Rfam family "Bacterial small subunit ribosomal RNA", at positions 524 to 776 of the family's 1533-position model. The record is from RNAcentral.
GACGUAGGGUGCAAGCGUUGUCCGGAAUUAUUGGGCGUAAAGAGUUCGUAGGCGGUUUGUCGCGUCUGCCGUGAAAGUCCGGGGCUCAACUCCGGAUCUGCGGUGGGUACGGGCAGACUAGAGUGAUGUAGGGGAGACUGGAAUUCCUGGUGUAGCGGUGAAAUGCGUAGAUAUCGAGAGGAACACCUGCGGCGAAGGCGGGUUGCUGGGCUGACACUGACGCUGAUGCGCGAAAGCUAGGGGAGCGAACGGG